CAAAUUCAAGACUUAGAAAAAAAAGGAAUUCCUCCUAAUUAUUUCGGUCUAAAAUUUUUGUGCCUAAAUUAUAGCCUUCUUCAUCUAUUAGAUUGAACAGUAAGAUUAGAAAAUCAGAAACCCUACAAGCCUAAAGCUUUCAAAAUCAAUCAUUUAUAGAGAAGGAAAAUUUCUCAUUAAUUACUCAUGUGAAUCAACCUAAUAUCCCCAGAAGAAAGAUUAUCAAACGGAAUUGGGUUACUCCAACAUCUGAUGUUUUCUCUAUUUGUCUUCUUACAGAUUCGAGGCUUUAUAGCGGAUUCAUAUAGCUCAACGACUAAAUUACUCUUACUAUGCUUUUGGACUGCACAGGUUCUUAAGGAGGGAGGAAUUGAAGACUAAGAGGAAAAAGAUUUUACCUGUGAGUUUUACU
Lycium ferocissimum is the source of this 412-nucleotide long non-coding RNA. RefSeq lists it as uncharacterized. NCBI's taxonomy places the organism in Eukaryota, Viridiplantae, Streptophyta, Magnoliopsida, Solanales, Solanaceae. The record is from RefSeq and is a predicted model, not a curated record. The transcript is spliced from 3 exons.